This 427-nucleotide ribosomal RNA is filed under the name uncultured bacterium. Its description in RNAcentral is "partial 16S ribosomal RNA". It matches the Rfam family "Bacterial small subunit ribosomal RNA", at positions 355 to 774 of the family's 1533-position model. The record is from RNAcentral.
UGGGGAAUAUUGCACAAUGGGCGCAAGCCUGAUGCAGCCAUGCCGCGUGUAUGAAGAAGGCCUUCGGGUUGUAAAGUACUUUCAGCGGGGAGGAAGGCGAUAAGGUUAAUAACCUUGUCGAUUGACGUUACCCGCAGAAGAAGCACCGGCUAACUCCGUGCCAGCAGCCGCGGUAAUACGGAGGGUGCAAGCGUUAAUCGGAAUUAAUGGGCGUAAAGCGCACGCAGGCGGUCUGUCAAGUCGGAUGUGAAGUCCCCGGGCUCAACCUGGGAACUGCAUUCGAAACUGGCAGGCUAGAGUCUUGUAGAGGGGGGUAGAAUUCCAGGUGUAGCGGUGAAAUGCGUAGAGAUCUGGAGGAAUACCGGUGGCGAAGGCGGCCCCCUGGACAAAGACUGACGCUCAGGUGCGAAAGCGUGGGGAGCAAACA